UACGUAGGGUGCAAGCGUUGUCCGGAAUUAUUGGGCGUAAAGAGCUCGUAGGCGGUUCGUCGCGUCGGCUGUGAAAACCUGCGGCUUAACCGCAGGCCUGCUUCCGAUACGGGCGAGCUAGAGUUCGGCAGGGGAGACUGGAAUUCCUGGUGUAGCGGUGGAAUGCGCAGAUAUCAGGAGGAACACCGGUGGCGAAGGCGGGUCUCUGGGCCGAUACUGACACUGAGAAGCGAAAGCGUGGGGAGCGAACAGG
Molecule: ribosomal RNA, 253 nt
Filed under: uncultured bacterium
Lineage: Bacteria
Description: partial 16S ribosomal RNA
Rfam family: Bacterial small subunit ribosomal RNA
Source: RNAcentral